UGGGGAAUAUUGGACAAUGGGGGCAACCCUGAUCCAGCAAUGCCACGUGUGUGAAGAAGGCCUGAGGGUUGUAAAGCACUUUUGUUGGGGAAGAAGUUGGCUAGGUUAAGAGCUAGGUCAAUUGACAUUACCCAAAGAAAAAGCACCGGCUAACUCUGUGCCAGCAGCCGCGGUAAUACAGAGGGUGCAAGCGUUAAUCGGACUUACUGGGCGUAAAGGGCGCGUAGGUGGAAAUUUAAGUCAGGUGUGAAAUCCCAGGGCUCAACCUUGGAAUGGCACUUGAUACUGGGUUUCUAGAGUAUGGUAGAGGGAAGGGGAAUUUCCGGUGUAGCGGUGAAAUGCGUAGAUAUCGGAAGGAACAUCAGUGGCGAAGGCGCCUUCCUGGACCAAUACUGACACUGAGGCGCGAAAGCGUGGGUAGCAAACAGG
RNAcentral lists this ribosomal RNA (429 nucleotides) under uncultured bacterium. Its description in RNAcentral is "bacterial SSU rRNA". It matches the Rfam family "Bacterial small subunit ribosomal RNA", at positions 355 to 776 of the family's 1533-position model. The record is from RNAcentral.